GCUUUGUCUAGCUGCCAAUAGCAGCUUCUCAGCAGUCCUUGCAGACUGGCUGCUAUCAAGCUCCAAGUGAUGAUGUACUAUAGCAUCUUCACCAAAAUUUGCUAAUUGUUGAGGUGACGUUUCCUUCAACUUUUCCAGGUCAAAGUUGGAGCCAAGUUCAGACAAUCUAUUUUGAGUUAAAGCCAGUUCACUAGUUGCAUCCUUAAAAGCAGAAAGUAGAACUUUAAGAUCCCUUUCCAACGAUUGUAUAGUAUUUUCCUGCGCUAGCCUACCAACUUCUGCAUCUCUGACCUUUUGCUUAAGAGAUUCUGUCAGUUCAAUCACAGGUAGAGCUAUGCUUUUUGUCAACUCCAGUUUCCUAAGUAUGGCUUUGAUCAAAU
This 380-nucleotide unclassified non-coding RNA is filed under the name Hevea brasiliensis (rubber tree). Lineage: Eukaryota; Viridiplantae; Streptophyta; Magnoliopsida; Malpighiales; Euphorbiaceae. The record is from RNAcentral.